Molecule: long non-coding RNA, 1774 nt
Organism: Brassica oleracea var. oleracea
Lineage: Eukaryota; Viridiplantae; Streptophyta; Magnoliopsida; Brassicales; Brassicaceae
Exons: 2
Source: RefSeq, a predicted model, not a curated record
ACCGUAUCAACUUCAAGCGUGGAGGGUUUCUUUCUCCCCGACUCUUUCACUUCAUCUUCUCCAAUGUCUGUUUUUUUUCUCAGUUUUCUUCUCAAUCAAUGAUAAUCUUAAAGUCAUUCUUGAGUGUUUUGUUUCACCUCCCCUCUAUAGUUCCCCUAUAUAAAGCUCUAUCUCUAUACCUACAUCUAUCUUAAUUAAAAAAAAAGCAACUCUGCAGAAGCUACUUCAUGGCCAUAAAAUACCACCGAAAAUUUUCAACUUUCCACAUACAAAUCUCCAGUCGUCGUCUACUUCUGGAGAAACCACCCCCACCGAGAAGCUAAUGCACAAGAGGUUUACCAGAAUUCGCUGAGGACAGAGGCAAAAGCCAGUGUGGUCAAUGGAACCGGAUACGAGCUUGAUCAGGUAAGGUCGGAUGUCUAGAGGCUAGCUGAAGAUAGAUAAAAGCCAUCGGCUGCAACAACUGUGCUUAACGGCGAGAUAGCCAAGAUCAAAGCUAAAUCGGACUGAGACAUGGAGAUUAAGGCAGACUCUUCGAGAAGAAGUUAGCAAAGGAAGGUGAAAACUGAAUAUACAUUUGUUCUGGAGUUGACAAUUUUGGACGAACAGUGACAAUUUUGAAAAAGGGCUUCUCUUGAGCGACCAUGAAAGCGGUAUGGAGAAGACCACCGAUCACUUACAUCGUCAAACUAUGAACUUCGAGAAGUAUUGUCUAACGUGGAGAUCAAAGAUAGAGCAGAAACUGCCGCUGUUGAGGCAGCUCAAAACCCAAGCAAUCUCAGAGUUUAGUUUAACCAUUUACUUGCAAAACUAACUUAUAACUUUGUGAACCUGUUCAUGUAAGGCCCUGGAUUCGUUGCAAGUUAUGAAAACUCAGAUGAUGCGUAUUGCUUAUGCAAGCCAAGGCCACCAACCCCCUGAAGAUAACGGUCCUAACCAGUUUCUCUAACACUGCAACGUACACGAGUCCACAAAACCUAAACUCAUUGCAUAGAUCCACUGCAUCAAACGCGAGUUAAUGUAUGUCCUUAAACUUCGGAUCUAUAUGAUUCAUUUAGUUUGUUUACAAGAGACGGUUUCAGUAACUAACAUUUUUAUACAAGUGUAAGUGUGUGCAGGUAUAUAUAAACUGUGAGUUAAUGUUACCUGGGAGGUUUGUGCAGUAGAGAGAAGAUGAGUUUUCGUCACUCCGGUGGAAAGAAUAUGUAGAUUGCAGCCAAGGCUCUCCACCACAAGUUGUUCCUAAAAAUAAAUCGAAUAAGCAGUUAAUCAAAGCUCAUUUAGAAACAUAUGUGUCUUUUACUCUAUAUAAUGUUGAAAAGGAGAGAAUUAAGCUGGGUGGGCUAAAUGAGGUAGCAUCAUUCUUUGGUGUUUUAGAAUUUGCAUUUAAAAUGAUAAUACAUUGAAUCUUUAAAGUCCUUAUAUCUAGCUUAUGUUUCUGACCAAUGAACCAUAAUACUGUUGGUGAACUUGGUGAGGAGGCAUUGUUUCCUGUAUACUGGAAUGUAGAUAAUCGGCAUGUGCUUAGAGUCCAGAAACUGUGACAGGGACUGUGUUUUGAAUCAUAUUUUUUUGUGCUUUCUAUUCAGGAGAACUAGGCCAAGAACUAGAGAGAUCAUUAGAGCUCAAAUCAAGGGUCUGCAGAGGCGCCAAAUUGUAAAUUGAGAUGUUAUCUUUUCUUUUUGUUUUAGUACAUUAGUUUGGUCUAUGAUGUUUAAGUCCAUGUUAGUUCUCGAUAUUUUCAUGAUAAUCCAGAAAAGUCCACAUGAUUUGA